AUUGAACGCUGGCGGAAUGCUUUACACAUGCAAGUCGAACGGCAGCACGGACUUCGGUCUGGUGGCGAGUGGCGAACGGGUGAGUAAUGUAUCGGAACGUGCCCAGUCGUGGGGGAUAACGUAGUGAAAAUUACGCUAAUACCGCACACGAUCUAUGGAUGAAAGCGGGGGAUCGCAAGACCUCGCGCGAUUGGAGCGGCCGAUAGCGGAUUAGGUAGUUGGUGGGGUAAAGGCCCACCAAGCCAACGAUCUGUAGCUGGUCUGAGAGGACGACCAGCCACACUGGAACUGAGACACGGGCCAGACUCCUACGGGAGGAAGCAGUGGGGAAUUUUGGACAAUGGGCGAAAGCCUGAUCCAGCCAUUCCGCGUGCAGGAUGAAGGCCCUCGGGUUGUAAACUGCUUUUGUACAGAACGAAAAGGUUUCUACUAAUACUAGGAGCUCAUGACGGUACUGUAAGAAUAAGCACCGGCUAACUACGUGCCAGCAGCAGCCGCCG
This 500-nucleotide ribosomal RNA is filed under the name uncultured bacterium. RNAcentral describes it as "partial 16S ribosomal RNA". It matches the Rfam family "Bacterial small subunit ribosomal RNA", at positions 30 to 523 of the family's 1533-position model. The record is from RNAcentral.